GAUGAACGCUGGCUACAGGCUUAACACAUGCAAGUCGAGCGGAAACGACGGGGAAGCUUGCUUCCCCGGGCGUCGACCGGCGCACGGGUGAGUAACGCGUAUCCAACCUGCCUCUGACUGAGGGAUAACCCGUCGAAAGUCGGCCUAAUACCUCAUGGCAUCGUCUGCGGGCAUCCAACGACGAUUAAAGAUUUCAUCGGUCAGGGAUGGGGAUGCGUCUGAUUAGCUUGUUGGCGGGGUAACGGCCCACCAAGGCUACGAUCAGUAGGGGUUCUGAGAGGAAGGUCCCCCACAUUGGAACUGAGACACGGUCCAAACUCGUACGGGAGGCAGCAGUGAGGAAUAUUGGUCAAUGGGCGGGAGCCUGAACCAGCCAAGUAGCGUGCAGGAUGACGGCCCUAUGGGUUGUAAACUGCUUUUAUGCGGGGAUAAAGUGAGGGACGUGUCCUUCAUUGCAGGUACCGCAUGAAUAAGGACCGGCUAAUUCCGUG
Molecule: ribosomal RNA, 491 nt
Filed under: uncultured bacterium
Lineage: Bacteria
Description: partial 16S ribosomal RNA
Rfam family: Bacterial small subunit ribosomal RNA
Source: RNAcentral